Molecule: small RNA, 5336 nt
Filed under: Pan troglodytes (chimpanzee)
Lineage: Eukaryota; Metazoa; Chordata; Mammalia; Primates; Hominidae
Description: processed transcript
Source: RNAcentral
UCGAAGCUCAGAAUGGCUCAGAAUCUGAGGUGUUUGUGGGGAAGUAUGAGACCCUCGUGUUUUACCGGCCCUCGCUGCUGUGCCUUGCCUUCCUGCUGGGCCGCUUCCUGCAUAUGUUUGUCAAGGCUCUGAGGGUGCACCUCGGCUGGGAGCUCCAGGUGGAAGAAAAAUCUGUCCCGGAAGCGCACCAGGGAGAGCACGUCAAGCAGCUCCUGAGGAUACCCCGCCCUCAAGAGAGAAAAAAGUCUUGGUUCCAAACCAGGAUAUAUGAGUGGGAUCCCUGCUUUCAAUUUCCAGGCAGAAUGAUUGGAACCAUUGUGUUGGCAUUCAUCUGCCUGUAUCUUUUCAUUGUCAUCGAGUUCUGCGUGUUUGUGUACGUGAGAGAUGAGUUGGAUGUGCUUGAAAACAACCUGGAAAGCUACAUCACCUUCACGAACCAUUCAGGGGUCCUGACCCCAGUCAUCCUGCAGGUGAAAGAGCUGAUCAGUGUCACCAAAGGAGUCUGGGUGGCGACCAUUUUGCCCGCCUCUCUCACGUGUGUGAGCUAUCUGUUCCACAUUUUGGUCUGUUACAGAAAGCACAUGAAGAGGCUAUGGGCAGGAGAUAAACAUUUUCUUCCUUUGAAGUUCCAUAACCCGGCCUCGUCGGAGAGCAUGGUGGCCAUUGCAAGGUACUCUGGCUGGCAAAUAGCCUAUAUUCUGUGGGGCUACCUCAUCAUUCACAUGGUACAGAGCCUAUGUGGCAUGGCAAUCAUGUACAGCCUGGUGCUACCCAUCGUCCAAACCAGGGCCUGGAAAUGCUGCAAGGGCUGGGCAUCGGGAUAGUCCCUUCGGAUUUGCGCCAUGCGCGGCGGGGAGAACCGGCCUCCUGCUCGAGUUCAGAGCUCAUCUGAGGAAUUGGAAUUGAGACACCAAAGCCUAGACGCGUUUCCUGGACGACGGCUUCCCGGCAGGGGCAUCCAGCCAGCGGCCAAGAUGUCGUCAGUGGGGAAGGUGACCCAGGUUCCGAAUGGGAAAGCCUACCAGCAGAUCUUCCAGGCUGAGGUGCAGCUGGUCCACUCCCUGGCGGCCACCAGGAAGCGGGCUGCAGAGCGUUCUGUGACCCUGAAGAGUGGCAGGAUACCCAUGAUGAAGAAGGUGGAGACUCCUGAAGGGGAGGUGAUGUCUCCCCGACAGCAGAAGUGGAUGCACAGCCUCCCCAACGACUGGAUCAUGGAAAACCCUGUUCUCCACAGGGAAAAGGAAAGAGCCAAGAGGGAAAAAGCCCAAGAGAGUGAGAACACCAUCGCUGCCCGAGAAGUGCGGGGUCUCAUGGAUACUAUAGUUCCUGAGAAGAUAAGCACCAGCACCUUUCAAAGGCGAGCAGAACACAAGAGGAGGAGCUACGAGAGCGCUCUGGCCAGCUUUCAGGAGGAGAUUGCGCAGGUGGGAAAGGCCCUGCUGGAGCUGUGGGAUAAGGUGGCCGGGCGGUUACUGCUCCGGAAGCAGGAGAUUAAGGAGCUGGAUGAGGCCCUGCACUCGGUGGAGUUCUCCCGAGCCGAUAAACUAAAAAGCGUGUUGAAGAAAUAUGCAGAAGUCAUAGAGAAAACUUCCUACCUCAUGCGGCCCGACGUGUACAGGCUGAUAAAUGAAGAAGCCAUGGUCAUGAACUAUGCCCUGCUGGGCAACCGGAAGGCUCUCGCCCAGCUGUUUGUCAACCUGAUGGAGUCCACCCUGCAGCAGGAGCUGGACAGCCGCCACCGCUGGCAAGGCUUGGUGGACACCUGGAAGGCUCUCAAGAAGGAGGCCCUGCUGCAGAGUUUCAGUGAGUUCAUGGCCAGUGAGAGUAUCCAUACUCCCCCGGCUGUGACGAAGGAGCUAGAGGUCAUGCUGAAGACCCAGAACGUCCUGCAGCAAAGGCGGCUGAAGCACCUCUGCACCAUCUGUGACCUCCUGCCCCCCAAUUACAGCAAAACUCAGCUGACUGAGUGGCAUUCUUCCCUCAACUCCCUGAACAAGGAGCUAGACACCUACCACGUGGACUGCAUGAUGCGGAUCCGCCUGCUGUAUGAGAAGACGUGGCAGGAGUGCCUGAUGCAUGUGCAGAAUUGUAAGAAGCAGCUGCUGGACUGGAAAGCCUUCACUGAGGAGGAGGCAGAGACCCUGGUGAACCAGUUCUUCUUCCAGAUGGUGGGAGCGCUCCAGGGCAAAGUGGAGGAGGACCUGGAGCUCUUGGACAAAUCCUUCGAGACUCUGGCAGAUCAGACAGAGUGGCAGAGUUCGCACCUCUUCAAGUAUUUCCAGGAGGCGGUACAACUGUGGGAGGCACACCAGAGCGAGCUGUUGGUGCAGGAGCUGGAGCUGGAGAAGAGGAUGGAGCAGCACCGGCAGAAGCACAGCCUGGAGAGCCAGGUGCAGGAGGCCCACCUCGAUAGGCUCUUGGACCAACUGAGGCAGCAAAGUGACAAAGAAACACUGGCGUUUCACCUGGAAAAGGUCAAAGAUUAUCUGAAGAACAUGAAAUCCAGGUAUGAAUGUUUUCACACCCUCCUGACAAAGGAAGUGAUGGAGUACCCAGCGAUCAUGCUGAAAGAACUCAACUCCUACAGCUCUGCCCUCAGCCAAUACUUCUUUGUGCAUGAAAUCUUUGAACAGAACUUGGCUGGAGAAGUCAUUUUCAAAUUCAGGCAACCAGAAGCACAUGAAAAACCCUCCCAGAAGAGAGUGAAAAAACUGAGGAAGAAGCAAGGGUCUAAAGAGGACAUGAGCAGAAGUGAGGAAAGCAUAAGUAGUGGGACAAGUACUGCCAGGUCAGUAGAAGAGGUGGAAGAAGAAAACGAUCAAGAAAUGGAGUCCUUCAUAACUGAAGAGGUGCUGGGGCAGCAGAAAAAAUCUCCACUGCAUGCUAAGAUGGAUGAGUCCAAAGAAGGCUCUAUUCAGGGACUGGAAGAAAUGCAGGUUGAAAGAGAGGGCUCCUUAAACCCAUCCCUGAAUGAGGAGAAUGUGAAGGGUCAAGGAGAAAAGAAGGAGGAGUCAGAGGAGGAAGAUGAGAAGGAGGAAGAGGAGAAGGAGGAGGAGAAGCUGGAGGAAGAGAAGGAGGAGAAGGAGGCACAGGAAGAGCAAGAGAGUUUAUCUGUGGGUGAGGAAGAAGACAAGGAAGAGGGUCUAGAGGAGAUAUGCUAUGAGGACAUGGAGUCCUUCACAAUCUCCAGUGGAAACACUUAUUUUGUCUUUGUACCCCUGGAAGAAGAAGAGCAUUGCAGGAAGUCCCAUUCCACCUUCUCAGCCAUGUUCAUCAACGACACUUCCAGUGCCAAGUUCAUAGAACAAGUGACAAUUCCAUCGAGACUAAUUUUAGAAAUGAAGAAACAAUUGUUUUCAGAGGGAGGCAACUUUUCUCCUAAAGAAAUCAAUUCACUGUGUUCCCGACUGGAGAAGGAAGCUGCCCGGAUAGAGUUGGUUGAAAGUGUCAUCAUGCUCAACAUGGAGAAGAUGGAGAACGAGUACCUGGACCAGGCCAAUGAUGUCAUCAACAAGUUUGAAAGCAAAUUGCAUAACCUGUCUGUGGACCUUAUUUUCAUAGAGAAAAUCCAGCGGUUGCUGACGAAUCUGCAAGUGAAAAUCAAGUGCCAGGUGGCAAAAUCCAAUUCGCAAACAAAUGGAUUAAAUUUCUCUCUGCAACAGCUUCAGAACAAGAUAAAAACUUGUCAAGAGUCCAGGGGAGAGAAAACCACAGUGACCACAGAAGAACUCCUCAGCUUCGUCCAAACUUGGAAAGAAAAACUGAGCCAGAGGAUUCAGUACCUUAACUGCAGCCUGGACGGGGUGUCCAUGACUGAACUGGUCUUUACCAACACCAUCCUGAAGGACCAGGAGGAAGACAGUGACAUCCUGACAUCUUCAGAAGCCCUUGAAGAGGAGGCCAAGCUGGACGUGGUCACCCCUGAGUCCUUCACCCAGCUGAGCCGCGUGGGGAAGCCCCUGAUUGAGGACCCAGCUGUGGAUGUGAUCAGGAAGCUCCUGCAACUUCCCAACACAAAAUGGCCAACCCACCAUUGUGACAAAGAUCCGUCCCAGACAGGCUUCAAGCGACAUCGGUGCCGGCCAGAAAACUCUGGGAAGAAGGCUGUACCCAGUGCCAGUGCUACCUCUGCAGGCAGGGAUUUUAAGGGGAUCAUCUUGACCCUCCUCUGGGAGAGCAAUGAGAACCUGCUGACAGUCGCAGAGGAGUUCUACCGUAAAGAAAAACGCCCGGUCACCAGGCCUGACUGCAUGUGUGACACCUUUGACCAGUGCGCCGAGAACAUUAGCAAAAAGAUCCUGGAGUACCAGAGCCAGGCAAAUAAGUACCACAACUCCUGCCUCAUAGAAUUACGGAUCCAGAUCAGGAGAUUUGAGGAGCUGCUGCCCCAAGUGUGUUGGCUGGUGAUGGAGAAUUUCAAGGAACACCACUGGAAAAAGUUUUGCACCUCCGUGAAGGAGAUCCGAGGACAGUUUGAGGAACAGCAGAAGCGGCUGGAGAAAAGAAAGGACAAAAAUGCCCAGAAGCUCCAUCUAAAUCUUGGACACCCCGUACAUUUCCAAGAAAUGGAGUCUCUACACUUAAGUGAAGAGGAAAGGCAGGAAGAGCUGGACAGCAUGAUUAGGAUGAACAAGGAGAAGCUGGAGGAAUGUACCAGAAGGAAUGGCCAGGUUUUCAUAACCAACUUGGCCACCUUCACCGAGAAGUUCCUACUGCAGUUGGAUGAGGUGGUCACCAUUGACGAUGUCCAGGUUGCAAGGAUGGAGCCCCCCAAACAGAAAUUAUCAAUGCUCAUACGAAGGAAACUCGCUGGGCUCUCCCUGAAGGAAGAGAGUGAGAAACCCCUGAUUGAACGUGGAAGCAGGAAGUGGCCAGGGAUCAAACCCACCGAAGUCAGCAUCCAAAACAAGAUUCUUCUCCGGCCAACAUCAUCGAUUUCCACCACCAAAACCACCCUGGGCCACCUGGCGGCCGUGGAAGCCCGAGAUGCUGUGUACCUGAAAUAUUUAGCAUCAUUUGAGGAGGAGCUGAAGAGGAUCCAGGAUGACUGCACAUCUCAGAUGAAGGAGGCUCAGCGCUGGAAGGACAGCUGGAAGCAGUCCCUGCACACUAUCCAGGGCCUGUAUGUGUGACCCUCCGCCCCACCAUGAAUAAACACUUUCUUAUACAGACUCCUUCCCUGUUCAUCUACCUGCCUACCUACUUUCCGUCCAUCCCUCCCUCCCUUCAUCCCUCCACCCCUGCUCUGUGCCGGGCACUGUAGCUUUACCAGCGAACAGGACACAGCAUGGUCCCUGCCCACGUGGAGCCCUCUUCCCAUGAGGAAUGCAAGCAUG